RNAcentral lists this ribosomal RNA (670 nucleotides) under Macrolepiota aberdarense. RNAcentral's name for it is "eukaryotic LSU rRNA". It matches the Rfam family "Eukaryotic large subunit ribosomal RNA", at positions 38 to 688 of the family's 3401-position model. The record is from RNAcentral. Lineage: Eukaryota; Fungi; Basidiomycota; Agaricomycetes; Agaricales; Agaricaceae.
GCAUAUCAAUAAGCGGAGGAAAAGAAACUAACAAGGAUUCCCCUAGUAACUGCGAGUGAAGCGGGAAAAGCUCAAAUUUAAAAUCUGGCGGUCUCUGGCCGUCCGAGUUGUAAUCUAGAGAAGUGCUGCCCGCGCUGGACCGUGUACAAGUCUCCUGGAAUGGAGCGUCAUAGAGGGUGAGAAUCCCGUCUCUGACACGGACUACCAGGGCUUUGUGGUACGCUCUCAAAGAGUCGAGUUGUUUGGGAAUGCAGCUCAAAAUGGGUGGUAAAUUCCAUCUAAAGCUAAAUAUUGGCGAGAGACCGAUAGCGAACAAGUACCGUGAGGGAAAGAUGAAAAGAACUUUGGAAAGAGAGUUAAACAGUACGUGAAAUUGCUGAAAGGGAAACGCUUGAAGUCAGUCGCGUUGGCCGGGGAUCAGCCUCGCUUUUUUGCGUGGUGUACUUUCUGGUUGACGGGUCAGCAUCAAUUUUGACCGCUGGAAAAAGGCUUGGGGAAUGUGGCAGCUUCGGCUGUGUUAUAGCCCUUUGUCACAUACAGCGGUUGGGAUUGAGGAACUCAGCACGCCGCAAGGCCGGGUUUCGACCACGUUCGUGCUUAGGAUGCUGGCAUAAUGGCUUUAAGCGACCCGUCUGAUGAAACACGGACCAAGGAGUCUAACAUGCCUGCG